This 2807-nucleotide long non-coding RNA is filed under the name Homo sapiens (human). RNAcentral's name for it is "HSALNT0171687". Lineage: Eukaryota; Metazoa; Chordata; Mammalia; Primates; Hominidae. The record is from RNAcentral.
AGAAUACUCAAACACUCACCAUGAACACAUUGGAUACACCGGUUAUUUUACCAAGGCUUUGGCUGGAAUGUUACAUUUUUGAAUGUGACCAAACUGCUUUGAGGAAUUGAGGCUGACUUUAUAAAGCCAAUAGACAUGGGAAAGACUGGCCUCAUGCCUUGCCCACACGGUUCUCUUACAAGGUUCCUCAGCUUGCGGUUUUGGUAUCAGGAUGACACCAAAAGCAAUGGCAACAAAAGCCAAAAUUGACAAAUGGAAUCUAAUUAAACUAAAGAGCUUCUGCACAGCAAAAGAAACUAUCAUCAGAGUGAACAGGCAACCUACAGAAUGGGAGAAAAUUCCUGCAAUCUAUCCAUCUGACAACGGGCUAAUAUCCAGAAUCUACAAGGAACUUAAACAAAUUUACAAGAAAAAAGCAAACAACCCCAUCAAAAAAUAGGUGAAGAAUAUGAACAGACACUUCUCAAAAGAAGACAUACAUGCAGCCAACAAACAUAUGAAAAAAAGCUUAUCAUCACUGGUCAUUAGAGAAAUGCAAAUCAAAACCACAAUGAGAUACCAUCUCAUGCCAGUUAGAAUGCAGAUCAUUAAAAAGUCAGGAAACAACAGGUGCUGGAGAAAUAGGAACGCUUUUACACUGUUGGUGGGAGUGUAAAUUAGUUCUACCAUUGUGGAAGACAGUGUGGCGAGGAUCUAGAAUCAAAAAUGCCUUUUGACCCAGCAAUCCCAUUACUGUGUAUAUACCCAAAGGAUUAUAAAUUAUUCUACUAUAAAGACAUAUGCACACAUAUGUUUAUUGCAGCACUAUUCACAAUAGCAAAGUCUUGAAACCCAAAUGCCCAUCAAUGAUAGACUGGAUUAAGCAAAUGUGGCACAUAUACACCACGGAAUACUAUGCAGCCAUGGAAAAGGAUGAGUUCAUGUCCUUUGUAGGGACAUGGAUGAAGCUGGAAACCAUCAUUCUCAGCAAACUAUCUCAGGGACAAAAAUACAAACACCACAUGUUCUCACUUAUAGGUGGGAAUUGAACAAUGAGAACACUUGGACACAGGAAGGGGAACAUCACACACUGGGGCCUGUUGAGGGGUGGUAGGUGGGGGGAGGGAUAGCAUUAGGAGAUAUACCUAAUGUAAAUGACGAGUUAAUGGGUGCAGCACACCAACAUGGCACAUGUAUACAUAUGUAACAAACCUGCACAUUGUGCACAUGUACCCUAGAACUUAAAGUAUAAUAAUUAAAAAAAAGAAAUUUGAUCCCCAAUGUUGAAGGUGGGGCCUAGUGGGAGAUGUUUGGGUCAUGGUGGUGGAUCUCUUAUUAAUAGACUGAUUUCCUGGGGUGAUGAGGGGAGUGAGUGAGUUCUUAGUUUGUUAGUUCUGCUAGAGAUGGUUGCAAAAAAUAGCUUGACACCUUCCCUCUUUCUCUUUUUUUCACUUCCUCUCCCACUGUGUGAUCUCUAUACUCUGCCUCUCCUUCCCCUUCAGCCAUAAGUGGAAGCAGCUUGAGGUCCUCAUCAGAUGUAGAUGCUGGCACCAUGCUUCUUGUACAGACUGAAGAGCCAUGAACUAAAUAAAUCUCCCUUCUUUGUAAAUUACCCAGUCUCGGGUAUUUCUUUGCAGCAAUGCUAACAGACUAAAACAUUACUACAAUUGCAUUGAUCUUCAGAUAGAUAACAAAAGAUGAGUCAAUUGACAAACCAUUGAAAAUUAAAUGUGAGAACCAGAGUGUCAGUCACUCACAAAGAGGUCCUCAUCUCUUGCAACAAGCAGGCAGAAAAAAUGGAGAUCAUUUUCAGGGUUCAGUAGUCACAGUGGCUGAACUUCAAUGAUACCUGCAUGCUUAAUCAAGGUAGCUAUGUUAAGCCAAAUCUGGAGCCAGAGUUGGAAAAAAUCUAAGGCUUUGACACAUGGGAUAAGAAUUCUAGGUGGAUGCCUCCAAAGAUCUGGACUUCAAAGAUAUCACUAAACUUUCUAACACUGCAGAAGUGACCAACCCCUCCCUAUUCAGGGCAGGAAGACUAUCGAAGAGGCGCACGAUCAGAAACUGCCUUCCCCUCUUUUCCUCAACACCAGGCCUAUAAAUAUGGUUAAGUCACAGCACAGCUCAGCCAGGGAAAUAAGGAAAGAAUGGAACAAUACCACAAAAGAACUGCAAGAUCUAACAGACCUUCACCAACAAGGGGAGAACCAUGGUACUUGUCCUGAGGGUGCUGGACCAGGAGGCUGGUAGGCAAGGCUGGAUAAGUGAAAGUUUAUUGACCUGAUCUGGAAAGAAAAGAAAGGGAGUUUGGCAGCAGGGAGGUCUAGGGUAGAGGCAUAUUGAUAGGCAUAUGGAGUGGGCAUAAAGUGUGAAGGUCUUUGUAUCUUGUGUUAACACCUGGUCAGUAGGUAAAAUGACUCACCCAGUUGACAAAUUAGCCUACUUCUUCUGUCAGCAACCACCCCAGUGCUGGCAUGAUGCCCACAAGAACAAAGUGGCCUGGCAGCAGAGAUAAAGGCUAUGCAAAAGCCCAAGCAACGUGGAACUCAUUUACCAAGACCAACCAGAUUUACUAGUUAUAAUGUGUAACUCCUCAAAAAAAUUACAAAUCAGUGCAUAGACCAUAUACAAAUAUACCCAUACACAUUUAGAAUUAAUGUGAUAUGAUUUCAUAUUGUAAUUCCUUAAACACAAAUUCAGUCAACUCUAUAUGAAUUGAAAUAAUACCAGUAAACAAUUCAGAUAUUUAUGUCAAAUUUCAUAUGUAAUAGAGACCACGUAAACAAUCAGUAGGGAUUUGUUUAACAAUUAUAAACCUAAAACCAGUUUAA